AUGAUUCACUUAAGCUGGAACUGCCGGGGAGGGGGGAAUACCCGGACAGUUCGUGAACUUGCAACGUUAUGUCAGUCACAUUCCCCCACUAUGGUCUUUCUGUGUGAAAUGAGGCAAAAACCAGAAAAGAUGAGGAGGAUUCGGGGCCGUUUAGGCCUCAAAGGCUUCUGUGGUGUAGAUAGUGAUGGAAUGAGUGGUGGUCUAGCCCUGUUCUGGCAUGAAUCCUAUGAUGUUGAGAUCAUGGAGAAAAAUGAGCGAUAUGUUGACGCCCGUGUGCGAGUUAAUCAGGACGCCAAGCAAUGGAGGGUCACCUGUGUAUAUGGGGAGCCAAGAGUUGAUAAUAGACAUAUCAUGUGGACAAAAUUACAGAAUCUGAAAAAUGUAAGUCAUUUGCCAUGGUUAGUGAUUGGAGAUUUCAAUGAGGCGCUUUGGGACUUUGAACAUAUGUCAGCAACUCCAAGGGCUGAAGCUCAAAUGAUAGCUUUUCAAGAUGCAUUGGAAAUCUGUGGCUUGGUGGAUCUUGGUUUCGUAGGUGUGCCUUUCACCUGUGACAACAAACGUAGUGGUGCAAGUAAUGUGUGUGUUCGCCUUGAUAGAGCUGUAGCUACCAACGCCCUGGAGGAACAUGUUUGCAUUAUCUUCAGUUUUACAUGUCCCAUCACCAUGUUCUGA
This 672-nucleotide ribosomal RNA is filed under the name Triticum aestivum (bread wheat). RNAcentral's name for it is "partial small subunit ribosomal RNA". The record is from RNAcentral. Lineage: Eukaryota; Viridiplantae; Streptophyta; Magnoliopsida; Poales; Poaceae.